GGCCGAGUGGUGUAGUUGGUUAUCACGUUUCGUUAACAUUUCAUAUGUUGACGCCGAAAAGGUCCUCAGUUCGAGUCUGGGCUUGGUCA
Ascosphaera aggregata is the source of this 89-nucleotide non-coding RNA. NCBI's taxonomy places the organism in Eukaryota, Fungi, Ascomycota, Eurotiomycetes, Onygenales, Ascosphaeraceae. The record is from the annotation of a GenBank genome assembly.